AAUGAAGUGCAACAUCGUGCUAAGUCAUUCUGCACAAUUAUCUUCCAGAUGAAGAAAACCUACAUAUGAACUUUGUAUCAUAUGGAUUGCAGUUGACUGUGUGAAAGACUCAGAGACAGGGCCCAAGUUCGUGAAGCCGCUGUAUUGGAAUGAUGAAGACUUGCCAAAGAUACAAAUCAUCCCUGUAUGCACCUCAACCUCUUCUUCCAUCAAGUUAGCAUGACAUGAGCUAAGCCAAACUGAUACACUUUGCAAGAGUAACAGAGCAAACUUCGUCAUCUGCCUUCAUGUAUUUGAGCACUCUGUCAAAACACUGGAGCGGUAGAAGAAGAAGGGGAAAGACCUGCACAGUCGCGCCCUUCUCGCUGUAG
Long non-coding RNA from Passer domesticus (house sparrow), 371 nucleotides. RefSeq lists it as uncharacterized. The record is from RefSeq and is a predicted model, not a curated record. Lineage: Eukaryota; Metazoa; Chordata; Aves; Passeriformes; Passeridae. The transcript is spliced from 3 exons.